GCAACUUCGUUCUUUGUUCUCGGUUCUUCCUCGACGUGCUCGCUUUUGUUUGUUUGGCAACGGCUCAACCAAUAUCGGUGAGAGAAUGUCUAGUGACAUUAAACGAUCGGAGGACUAUAAUUUUUAUCGGGGGCGAGUUCAAACUUCCAGAUGUCCUUGCCGCUCUAGAAAUGAGUGAGGAGGAAAAGGAGGCGGCUGGUCGGGCGACCGCUGAGGAUUCCUGGAAGGUGAGGUUUGCUUUUAAGAUGGGGAAUGUGAGAAAGUCUAUCAAAGACGAGCCAGAUGUGGACAGAGCACGCAGCAAAUACGGUCGCAAGAGACCGGCUAGUGAGACUCAAGCUGCCCAGGCCAAAAGACUGUGUCGGGCUUUGGAUCUGACACCAAAUCAUUGCACUGCAAUGGAAGAUGAUGCCCAUCAUGCAAAUACGGUGGAAGCAAUCAAGUGCAGUCUCAGCAGUGUACCGGAGCCCAAUAUUGAGCAGCUGAUGGAGCAAAUGGGAAGCACGUUCGGCACCGACGGCAGUGGAUAAAGGACGCAUUACCAUCACUGGCGGGAUGUCCUCAUGGAGUACCCUGCCUUGAACCGUGCAGAUAUGGUAUGCAUCUUAAAGCUCAGCCCUACAGAUUUUAGAGUGUCAUCAAAUUCAAUAGCAGUCACAAUGUAUGUUCUUCGGGAACACUGAUUGUGCUUACACCCGAUACUACACCCGAACUGUCCCCAGUAUUUUUUUAAGUGUCACCAAUGUCCUGUGUAGUCGUCUGCAAACACUAUGUUUGAAUAUAGUAUUUGCUUCUCUGACCAAGCCAAUCCGCAGCAUCCAAAGAUACGAAGGAAUAGAAUGAUGUGUGUCUCCACGAGAUUCUGGGAAAGCUGUAGCCGUAAUUCACUGGAAAGUAUGAGAAGUAUGAAUCUGCGGCAUAAUGUAUGUAUCGGUGUAUGUCAUAAAAAAAUUGUUCACACACAAGUAUGUAUGUGAUUGGGUUAAUCAAAUUUAUGUGAUACAAUGCAGUACCGAGGAAAGAAAGGCACACUUCGAGGACAGUUCAACGGAGGUGUUUAGAAUAUCAACACCUUUCGGCACACCAGGAAAUCUGUACAGCUGACCUUAAAGCAAGAAUGGUGCACAUGAUGCUAACAUGCAUGAAUUAAUUGUAGCUGCACAAAGAAUUUACCAGCAUAACUGGCGUAGCUGCUGAGAAGGCAGUGCUAAUGUUUAUCAACCAGUAUGGGGAAAAGUGCGUCCAGAAGGCUCACAAGCAGAAGAGCGCCAGGGAUGCAAUCAUGGACACAGAGGCCCAACUUUCUACACUAGAUGGUGAUGUAAAAAAUAUUGCUUCGCCAUCGGAGUCAUGACAAUUCUGCCCAGACUUCUGAAGGACCACCCUUAUUUUCUCAGGGGCCCUGAUGCUUAUCCCGCUUUAGUCAUUGAGGGUGACCCACUCCAUGAAGCCACUGAGGUCAUGGUAAGGUUCGAGGACCUUUCUAUACGAGCCUUAGACAUUGUGGAUGGCAUCGCACUCCUGUUCGCAAUCUGCUGGACGUUCAACGUCCAGUAUUCACCAAGGAACAAGAACACGCUCUCGGUAUUAGAAAAAAAUGUUUGGCAUUCAUUCAACCUUGCCAGUGUCCAGAACAGCUGCGAAUGUACUGAAGGCUUUGAAAGAUAAUACUUGAAGUUUAUAUGUGUUCAUGUGGGAAAUGCAGACCGAUGGAUACUACGGACCAGUGUUUUUGCUGCCGAGAGGUAGAGAAUGCGUGUGAAAAGCAGAGAGACAAUUCCAUCACAACUAACGAAUAUUUCGAAAUACUGUGCCUUGACACCGAAGUCUUGCAAGUGUAUUUUACAUACAUCCGAGAAACCGAAGAGCAUGGUAACAUACGCGGCAGCGCCGUGUGGUAUUUACGCGCUACUUGAACGGCAAACUGGACGGAAAACCCUUAUUUCCGCAGGACAUUCCGUUAUAUCACCUGUCGGCUAUUCACAAGAAGGAUAUGGCGUGCUCUGAGAAAGUACAAUAGAAAGUAUUCUUCCUGCCUUGGUCGUGCAUGCUAUUAGAGAUGCUUUCCCCAUCAGUGUGCAGACUUGUAGAAAUGUAUAUAUUGAUGUCAGCGAACUUUCAUUUCUUGCUUGCUGCAAGUUUUCUUAUUGCUUAUUCUUUGCAGUCACAGCAUAUUAUAAUUAUUAUUUUUUCCCUGGAGGGUUAAGUAACCCUCCUGGGGGCAUAUGUAUAUUUGUAUAUUAUGCUCAUGUCUUGUAUAUAUCAGCGUCGUUCAGCUGAACUGUGUUCAUAACCAUUUAAUAUGCUUCUUAUUGACCAGGUUUCCAAAUGCCAAUUAAUGUUUGAACCGAGAUUGGGAUUUAACACCUAAUUAACUCUGGUUUGCUAAAAAGCGUACUUGUAACUGAUUCAGUUUCAUGUCACCAACUAACAUUUGUAAAGGAGGACUUGAGGGCUGACUUCAAGUAUUAGCAACCCUUGAUCUGGGUUCAAAGUUAACCAUGCAGCAUUGGUGUGGGCAAUAGUACUCCAAAAUGGCUACAUAAUUAAUUCCGUAAGUUCUCCGUUACUGUAAUUGAGAUGUACUUUUGUAAAGUACUUUUGACAGCCCUGCAUAUUGAAACUGGCUUCAGUGUACACGACAAACGUAUCGUAACAUUUAAUUGAAAUAUAAUAUAAGAACAGAAGCAACAUUUUGUCAAAACUCAAACUAUAUAUCUCU
This is an RNA transcript of Ornithodoros turicata, 2722 nucleotides long. RefSeq lists it as uncharacterized. The record is from RefSeq and is a predicted model, not a curated record. The transcript is spliced from 6 exons. NCBI's taxonomy places the organism in Eukaryota, Metazoa, Arthropoda, Arachnida, Ixodida, Argasidae.